GCUAUUAAGAGUAUUUGUUAUGUGUACAUAUGCAUAACACACAUAUAUGCUUGUAGAUAUACACACACAGAUAGAUAGAUAGAUGUGUAUAGAAGUAUGCUGUUAUAGAAAAUAUUGUUUAUGCAUAUUUUAGAGAAAAACAUGUUAUAUAGAGAGAGAAUUGACACAUACCCACAUAUGCAAUAGUUUCCCAAUACUCAUUUUCAAAGACCCGUCUCUAACAGUUGAGUGGUAGAUUAAUUUGAAUGUAAAUUACAAAAAGUUUCCAGAGAUGUUAUGGCUCACAGUCCUGAGGGGGGCAAAUAGAUCCUAGAAUUCUGAAUAGAAACUAGAACACGCUAUAAGCUAUGAAAGAGAAGAGGUAAUUGGGGUGGGGUGGGGUGGGGGUGGGGGGCACCAGGACCAUUUUUCUCUCCAGAGAACUUGGUAUCCAAGGUCCUAGCUGCUACAAAGGGAUGCUUCCAAUCACCGCAUCCACUUCCCGCGCUUCCUUAGGGGAAGGCAAGACCAGGUGUUUGCACUUUCCCUUUCCACGCCCUCCUAGGUGCUUGAUGCCUUAAAAAUUCGAGAGGUGGUGGAAGAGGGAGGGAAGAAGAGGAAGAUUAACCCUGGAGAAAGGAGCUGGAAAGGUGAGUUGGAAGAAGCCUCUGGCUCCGUGCCACUUAGGCUCGCAUCGAUUAAAUGUUAAAUGACUGAAGGGUGGAGACUGGCAGCUGGUGAGGUGCGUCCGGGCCACCCAGAGCUCCAGGCAGCUCUCUUGCCGGGACGGUCCCGGGAAUGUUCCCAGUGCAGGACGGUGGGAGGCAAGAGGCACUACAUGGACCCCGCGCCCAAGGGAAUAUGUAUGUAUCCUAUAAGACUGGAACAACCUCCAGGAAGUGAUGCAGAGCGAGAGGAGCAGAACCAGGAGAACAUUGUACACAGAGACUAAUACACUGUGGUAUAAUCGAACGUAAUGGACUUCUCCAUUAGUGGCGGUGUAAUGUCGCUGAACAACUUGCAGGGAUCCAGGAGAAAAAAACACCAUUCAUAAGCAAAGGAUAAACUAUGGGAGUGGAAACACCGAGAAAAAGCAACUGCCUGAAUACAGAGGUUGAGGGGACAUGACAGAAGAUAGACUCUAAAUGAACACUCUAAUGCAAAUACUAUCAACAAAGCAAUGGGUUCAAAUCAAGAAAACAUCUAAUGCCCAGUGGACUUACGCGUCGGCUAUGGGGGGUAGGGGGGGAGGAAAAGAAAAUGAUCUAUGUCUUUAACGAAUAAUGCUUGGAAAUGAUCAA
RNAcentral lists this long non-coding RNA (1280 nucleotides) under Monodelphis domestica (gray short-tailed opossum). RNAcentral's name for it is "lncRNA (ENSMODG00000043885.1)". The record is from RNAcentral. Lineage: Eukaryota; Metazoa; Chordata; Mammalia; Didelphimorphia; Didelphidae.